AGCGUACACGGUGGAUGCCCUGGCAGUCAGAGGCGAUGAAGGGCGUGCUAAUCUGCGAUAAGCGCCGGUAAGGUGAUAUGAACCGUUAUAACCGGCGAUACCCGAAUGGGGAAACCCAGUGUGACUCGUCACACUAUCAUUAACUGAAUCCAUAGGUUAAUGAGGCGAACCGGGGGAACUGAAACAUCUAAGUACCCCGAGGAAAAGAAAUCAACCGAGAUUCCCCCAGUAGCGGCGAGCGAACGGGGAGGAGCCCAGAGCCUGAAUCAGCAUGUGUGUUAGUGGAAGCGUCUGGAAAGGCGCGCGAUACAGGGUGACAGCCCCGUACACAAAAGCGCAUGUGCUGUGAGCUCGAUGAGUAGGGCGGGACACGUGGUAUCCUGUCUGAAUAUGGGGGGACCAUCCUCCAAGGCUAAAUACUCCUGACUGACCGAUAGUGAACCAGUACCGUGAGGGAAAGGCGAAAAGAACCCCGGCGAGGGGAGUGAAAAAGAACCUGAAACCGUGUACGUACAAGCAGUGGGAGCNNGUGACUGCGUACCUUUUGUAUAAUGGGUCAGCGACUUAUAUUCUGUAGCAAGGUUAACCGAAUAGGGGAGCCGGAGGGAAACCGAGUCUUAACCGGGCGUUAAGUUGCAGGGUAUAGACCCGAAACCCGGUGAUCUAGCCAUGGGCAGGUUGAAGGUUGGGUAACACUAACUGGAGGACCGAACCGACUAAUGUUGAAAAAUUAGCGGAUGACCUGUGGCUGGGGGUGAAAGGCCAAUCAAACCGGGAGAUAGCUGGUUCUCCCCGAAAGCUAUUUAGGUAGCGCCUCGUGAAUUCAUCUCCGGGGGUAGAGCACUGUUUCGGCUAGGGGGCCAUCCCGGCUUACCAACCCGAUGCAAACUGCGAAUACCGGAGAAUGUUAUCACGGGAGACACACGGCGGGUGCUAACGUCCGUCGUGAAGAGGGAAACAACCCAGACCGCCAGCUAAGGUCCCAAAGUCAUGGUUAAGUGGGAAACGAUGUGGGAAGGCCCAGACAGCCAGGAUGUUGGCUUAGAAGCAGCCAUCAUUUAAAGAAAGCGUAAUAGCUCACUGGUCGAGUCGGCCUGCGCGGAAGAUGUAACGGGGCUAAACCAUGCACCGAAGCUGCGGCAGCGANNGUUGGGUAGGGGAGCGUUCUGUAAGCCUGUGAAGGUGUGUCGUGAGGCAUGCUGGAGGUAUCAGAAGUGCGAAUGCUGACAUAAGUAACGAUAAAGCGGGUGAAAAGCCCGCUCGCCGGAAGACCAAGGGUUCCUGUCCAACGUUAAUCGGGGCAGGGUGAGUCGACCCCUAAGGCGAGGCCGAAAGGCGUAGUCGAUGGGAAACGGGUUAAUAUUCCCGUACUUGGUGUUACUGCGAAGGGGGGACGGAGAAGGCUAUGUUGGCCGGGCGACGGUUGUCCCGGUUUAAGCGUGUAGGUGUGUGUUCCAGGUAAAUCCGGUUCACUUUAACACUGAGGCGUGAUGACGAGGCACUACGGUGCUGAAGCAACAAAUGCCCUGCUUCCAGGAAAAGCCUCUAAGCAUCAGGUAACAUCAAAUCGUACCCCAAACCGACACAGGUGGUCAGGUAGAGAAUACCAAGGCGCUUGAGAGAACUCGGGUGAAGGAACUAGGCAAAAUGGUGCCGUAACUUCGGGAGAAGGCACGCUGACAUGUAGGUGAAGUGAUUUACUCAUGGAGCUGAAGUCAGUCGAAGAUACCAGCUGGCUGCAACUGUUUAUUAAAAACACAGCACUGUGCAAACACGAAAGUGGACGUAUACGGUGUGACGCCUGCCCGGUGCCGGAAGGUUAAUUGAUGGGGUCAGCGCAAGCGAAGCUCCUGAUCGAAGCCCCGGUAAACGGCGGCCGUAACUAUAACGGUCCUAAGGUAGCGAAAUUCCUUGUCGGGUAAGUUCCGACCUGCACGAAUGGCGUAAUGAUGGCCAGGCUGUCUCCACCCGAGACUCAGUGAAAUUGAACUCGCUGUGAAGAUGCAGUGUACCCGCGGCAAGACGGAAAGACCCCGUGAACCUUUACUAUAGCUUGACACUGAACAUUGAGCCUUGAUGUGUAGGAUAGGUGGGAGGCUUUGAAGCGUGGACGCCAGUCUGCGUGGAGCCGACCUUGAAAUACCACCCUUUAAUGUUUGAUGUUCUAACGUGGACCCGUAAUCCGGGUUGCGGACAGUGUCUGGUGGGUAGUUUGACUGGGGCGGUCUCCUCCUAAAGAGUAACGGAGGAGCACGAAGGUUGGCUAAUCCUGGUCGGACAUCAGGAGGUUAGUGCAAUGGCAUAAGCCAGCUUGACUGCGAGCGUGACGGCGCGAGCAGGUGCGAAAGCAGGUCAUAGUGAUCCGGUGGUUCUGAAUGGAAGGGCCAUCGCUCAACGGAUAAAAGGUACUCCGGGGAUAACAGGCUGAUACCGCCCAAGAGUUCAUAUCGACGGCGGUGUUUGGCACCUCGAUGUCGGCUCAUCACAUCCUGGGGCUGAAGUAGGUCCCAAGGGUAUGGCUGUUCGCCAUUUAAAGUGGUACGCGAGCUGGGUUUAGAACGUCGUGAGACAGUUCGGUCCCUAUCUGCCGUGGGCGCUGGAGAACUGAGGGGGGCUGCUCCUAGUACGAGAGGACCGGAGUGGACGCAUCACUGGUGUUCGGGUUGUCAUGCCAAUGGCACUGCCCGGUAGCUAAAUGCGGAAGAGAUAAGUGCUGAAAGCAUCUAAGCACGAAACUUGCCCCGAGAUGAGUUCU
Molecule: ribosomal RNA, 2755 nt
Filed under: Salmonella enterica subsp. enterica serovar Infantis
Lineage: Bacteria; Pseudomonadati; Pseudomonadota; Gammaproteobacteria; Enterobacterales; Enterobacteriaceae
Description: bacterial LSU rRNA
Rfam family: Bacterial large subunit ribosomal RNA
Source: RNAcentral